AGAGUUAAACAGUGCGUGAAAUUGUUGAAAGGGAAACGUUUGACACCAGUUUUGCGGGUGGGAAAUCAGUCGCGUUGCAGUGGGGAGUGGCAAGGGUUCGGACCGCAAGGCUGACCUUUGUCUCAUUUCUGCUGCGGGCGAUGCACUUUUUCAUUUGCAGGUCAACAUCAGUUUCCUCCGCUGGACAAAACCCCAAGAGAAUGUAGCAGCUUUGGCUGUGUUAUAGCUCUGGGGCGAUACAGUGGCGGGGACUGAGGUUUUCGCAGUGUGUGCUCUCGGGCAAGGCUGACUGGGUGCUAUGGGAUGGUUCAGUGUACAAUGCAUGCAUCUUGCGCUGGGUCUGUCCUGUACUCGCCUAUCUCAGCUCUUCCACGCUUAGGAUGUUGACAUAAUGGUUUUAAACGACC
Molecule: non-coding RNA, 407 nt
Filed under: uncultured fungus
Lineage: Eukaryota; Fungi
Also listed under: 1 other name
Source: RNAcentral